AUGCUCACUUCAGCAGCACAUAUACUAAAAACUGGAACAAUACAGAGAAGAUUAGCAUGCCCCUUGUGCAAGGAUGACACACAAAUUCGUUACAUGUUCCAAUUUUAA
This is a small nuclear RNA of Camelus dromedarius (Arabian camel), 108 nucleotides long. The record is from Ensembl. Lineage: Eukaryota; Metazoa; Chordata; Mammalia; Artiodactyla; Camelidae.